GCGAUGAGGGAAUCCCAAGUGCUUGCACGUAAGUGUAAGCUGUUUUUAUGUUUAAAAUGCAUAGAGAGUAAGGGCUGGGUAAGACGGGUGCCAGCCGCCGCGGUAAUACCUGCAGCUCAAGUGGUGAUCAUUAUUAUUGGGCCUAAAACGUUCGUAGCCGGUUUAGUAAAUGCCUGGGUAAAUCGUGUAGCUUAACUAUACGGAUUCCGGGUAGACUGCUAAACUUGAGACCGGGAGAGGCUAGAGGUACUCCUGGGGUAGAGGUGAAAUUCUGUAAUCCUAGGGGGACCACCAGUGGCGAAGGCGUCUAGCUAGAACGGGUCUGACGGUGAGGGACGAAGCCCUGGGGCGCAAACCGGAUUAGAUACCCGGGUAGUCCAGGGUGUAAACGCUGCUUGCUUGAUGUUAGUCGGGCUCCGAGCCCGAUUAGUGUCGGAGAGAAGUUGUUAAGCAAGCUGCCUGGAA
RNAcentral lists this ribosomal RNA (465 nucleotides) under uncultured archaeon. RNAcentral's name for it is "bacterial SSU rRNA". It matches the Rfam family "Archaeal small subunit ribosomal RNA", at positions 367 to 833 of the family's 1478-position model. The record is from RNAcentral.